UGGGGAAUCUUAGACAAUGGGGGCAACCCUGAUCUAGCCAUGCCGCGUGAGUGACGAAGGCCCUAGGGUCGUAAAGCUCUUUCGCCAGGGAUGAUAAUGACAGUACCUGGUAAAGAAACCCCGGCUAACUCC
RNAcentral lists this ribosomal RNA (132 nucleotides) under uncultured bacterium. Its description in RNAcentral is "partial 16S ribosomal RNA". It matches the Rfam family "Bacterial small subunit ribosomal RNA", at positions 355 to 504 of the family's 1533-position model. The record is from RNAcentral.